GACGAACCGUGCGAACGUUGUUCGGAAUCACUGGGCUUGAAGGGCGCGUAGGCGGGCGACCAAGUCCGGGGUGAAAUCCCACGGCCCAACCGUGGAAGGGCCCCGGAUACUGGCCGCCUCGAGGGAGGUAGGGGCGUGUGGAACUUCCGGUGGAGCGGUGAAAUGCGUAGAUAUCUGGAGGAAUACCGGUGGCGAAGGCGGCAUCCUGGACCGGCAUUGACGCUGAGGAGCGAAAGCCAGGGGAGCAAACGGG
RNAcentral lists this ribosomal RNA (253 nucleotides) under uncultured bacterium. RNAcentral's name for it is "partial 16S ribosomal RNA". It matches the Rfam family "Bacterial small subunit ribosomal RNA", at positions 524 to 776 of the family's 1533-position model. The record is from RNAcentral.